CCUACGGGUGGCAGCAGUGAGGAAUAUUGGUCAAUGGCCGGAAGGCUGAACCAGCCAAGCCGCGUGAAGGACGAAGGUGCCAAGAAUUGUAAACUUCUUUUGUCAAGGGACAAAAUCAGGCUCGAGAGCCUGACAGAGGGUACUUGAAGAAAAAGCAUCGGCUAACGCCGUGCCAGCAGCCGCGGUAAUACGGAGGAGGCGAGCGUUCUCCGGUUUUAGUGGGUUUAAUGGGUGCGUAGGCGGACGGUUAAGUCAGCGGUAAAAGACCGGGGCUCAACCCCGGCGAGCCGUUGAGACUGGCUGUCUAGAGAUGUCGAGAGGUAUGCGGAAUG
RNAcentral lists this ribosomal RNA (332 nucleotides) under uncultured bacterium. RNAcentral's name for it is "partial 16S ribosomal RNA". It matches the Rfam family "Bacterial small subunit ribosomal RNA", at positions 338 to 668 of the family's 1533-position model. The record is from RNAcentral.